RNAcentral lists this ribosomal RNA (414 nucleotides) under uncultured marine alveolate. RNAcentral describes it as "partial 18S ribosomal RNA". It matches the Rfam family "Eukaryotic small subunit ribosomal RNA", at positions 73 to 487 of the family's 1831-position model. The record is from RNAcentral.
CAGCCAGGGCAAAACUGCGCAAGNCUCAUUAAAACAGUUAUAGUUUAUUGGAUNGUCCCACGUUAUUUGGAUAACUGNGGUAAUUCUAGAGCUAAUACNUGCAUAAAGACNCGACUUCUUGGAAGAGUCGUAUUUAUUAGAUACAGAACCAAUUCGGCUUGNCGAUUNUUGGAUGANUCAUAGNAAACGAACGGAGCGCAUGACUUGUGUCGGCGCUGUNUCCNUCAAGUUUCUGACCUAUCAGCUUUCGANGGUAGGGUAUUGNCCUCCCGUGGCAUUGACGGNUAACGGAAAAUUAGGGUUCGAUUCCGGAGAGGGANCCCGAAAAACGGCUACCACAUCUAAGGAAGGCAGCAGGCGCNCANAUUACCCAAUCCNUGACACAGGGAGGUAGUGACAAGAAAUAACAAANCC